RNAcentral lists this ribosomal RNA (315 nucleotides) under uncultured bacterium. RNAcentral describes it as "bacterial LSU rRNA". It matches the Rfam family "Bacterial large subunit ribosomal RNA", at positions 1 to 329 of the family's 2925-position model. The record is from RNAcentral.
CGGCCGCGUCGACGUGCAUGUGGUGGAUGCCUUGGCGAUCACAGGCGAUGAAGGACGUUGUAGCCUGCGUUAUGCUGCGGGGAGCUGGCAAACGAGCUUUGAUCCGCAGAUGUCCGAAUGGGGAAACCCACUCCGAAAGGAGUAUCCCGCGCUGAAUACAUAGGCGCGAGGAAGCGAACCGAGCGAACUGAAACAUCUAAGUAGCUCGAGGAAAGAAAUCAACCGAGAUUCCCUAAGUAGCGGCGAGCGAACGGGGAAGAGCCCAAACCAGCUUCGGCUGGGGUUGUAGGACGUUCACAACGGAUUUAAAGACUU